This is a long non-coding RNA of Astatotilapia calliptera (eastern happy), 2786 nucleotides long. The record is from Ensembl. NCBI's taxonomy places the organism in Eukaryota, Metazoa, Chordata, Actinopteri, Cichliformes, Cichlidae.
GUAGGGCUGACUGUUUGUUUAGCAGAACAACUUCUUCAUUUAGAAAUAAGGAGUUUCUGAUAUGACAGUGAAAUUCAAGGAUUCGAGUGAUAAAGUCUCAACAUGAAAGUCCGUCACAUUGUUAUCUGCUUCAUCUUCCUCACACUGCAGGAUGGAAACACUGUUCCUUACAAUGCAAAGAUUGCCAUGCACACAGGAGUGGAAGGAGGAAACAUCACAGUUAAAUGUUCAUUUUAUAUCUUUGGAAAGUGGAAGCUCUUAUGUAAGGACCAAUGUGAAAGGGGAAACAUUCUCAUUGAAACAGCCGACCUUGUAGCUCAAAGAGGCAGAUACUUUAUUAAAUACAAAGAAGAAGAGUUUCCAACACGUCAUGCAGUUUUUUAUGUCAGCAUCACACAGCUGGAAAAAUCUGACUCGGGGCUGUACCGGUGCUAUUUGGACAGAGACUUGGAUCCAUAUUUGUUUGAUAGCUUUCAGCUCACGGUGACAGAAGCAUCAACAGCUUCAACACCAGCAUUGGGCCCGCAAUCUUUUUCAACUUCCACAGCAAUCACUAAACAGCCUGAAAUAACAUUUGUAAAUUCAGGUUUUCUCUGGCCUGUGGUUAUAGCUGUAGUCAUGGUGUUUUUGGUGUUGUUUGUUGUUGUGCAUCUCAUCUGCAAAAAGAAGACUACGGACUCUUGUGAGUUAUGUUUCACCUCUUUGGCACCUUUAUGAUAAGCUGAUUAGUGAUUCUAAUGUGUGGAUUUUUAACCCUGUAACCGACUGCUGACAUUUGUGGAGCGCACAGAGUGUACAGUCUCCAACCAGCCUUACAUCUAAGAAUAUUUCAUGUUUGUCUAAUACUUUUCUGUGUUUUACCGUUUUCAGGUUUGAAGAAACAGAAAAUUAUGAAUUAUGAAAAGAGCGAGGUAAUUUGUACAGAAUCUAUUGUUUAUGAUGUCAACAUGACGAAUACCAAUGAAGGCAGGGGGAGGAAUCUUGUUUUGCAUCUUUUAUGAACAGCAUAGAGCAGCGCUUAUAGUACACUGACUUGGCCCAAAAGUUUUAUACUCAGCCAGAACAACAAUAAUGAUGGCACUAUUCCUAAUUAGGGAUGGGUACCGGUAUCGUUCUGACAUUGUAAGUGCGCAUGCGCCAUUAGUGUGCUGCCUGCUGUAACCCUAAUUUCCCUCGGGAUGAAUAAAGUAUUCUGAUUCUGAUUCUGAUAUCACCGUGAGUUAACGCACCUGAAUCAAAUGAUUAGUUCAUUACCAUGCCUCUGGAGAACUUCAAGACAUGUUGAGGAGAUAGGACAUCAGCCCUUGAGGCCUGGAGUUCCCCCACCUAAAGGUGCUUAUCUCAAACCUCAAGAGCUUCUGAUUUAACAGGGUUACUUUCAUCAUUCUGUCUUUUCCAGAUUGUUCUCUAUGACAAUCUUCUGACGUUGCCACCUGAAGAGUCAGUAUACCAGAGCCUGGAUCCAGCCAGCAGGGAUGAAGACCAAGUGUACCUUACACUUAAACAGACAUGAAAGCACAAAUAAUCCAGCAUUCAGGCCUGAAUUUAUGUGUCACAACAGACACAGAUUGAUACAACAGACAACAUCUUUAAACACUUCUUUAUUCUUCACUUUACUAAAAGAUAACGAUUUUACAGAUUGAGCAUUAUGAUCAUUAUAAUAUUUUGGUUUAAAAUAAUUUCUCUUCUCAUUCUGGUGCAAAAUUAGAGCUCAUCUUAUAUUCAAAGGCACCACCUGGGGGUGCUGUAGGAGUAGUGACAAAUAUCAGGAUUAAAUAACAGCUCAUCAAACUGAUCUGUAAAGUUGCAAAGCAAUAAUAAACAUUUGUAUAUUGGUAUGUCUUCUUUCCAAACAGGUUUUCCAAACUCUGAGAACAUCUGAGAACCAGAGGGGAAAACAAACCCUCCUACCCUAAAAACCACGAAGCACUCUGAGAGUGCAAACAUCCACCAAAGUUUUAUUAGAAUUCACACAAACCUUUUUGAGUUAUUGUGUUUACACACAGAAAGAAUGACACACAUGCAUGUUAAAACUACCAGAAACAUAACCUACUUGGAGAUGGUUACAACAGAAAAAGAAAAAAUAAUUGCAAUUUCAUUUAUUUAUUUGGGGGGAUUUUUUUUUUUUGUCAUCCACCCAUUUUCUUCCGGUCCAACCUGGCCACCAAGAUCUCUCCCUUGGCCCCCCCCUCUUCCAGGCCUGUCUCCUGGGCAGGGCCCUGGUAACCCUAUCCCAGGCAGGGUGAACUGUUCCCUUGAGCUUACACUGAUAAGUGCCUUUGUCGGGUCCUUCACCCAGACCAAUUUGCCAUGGGAGACCCUACCAGGGAACAAAAGCUAACUGUCAGCACACACCCUGGAACCUGUGGGAGACACAAACCCCGAUUCAUGGAGGGGGGAUUUUUAGUUAUGUUUAUUUAUUUAUUUUUGAUCUGUGAUAAUGGGUCGAAAAGAGAAGUAUAAAAUUGCCCCAAAAUCUGGUCUGACUUUUUAAUAAAGUAAAUAUGUCUGAUGUUGCUGUGGAAUGACUCCCAGCAGAAGACAAAACUUCAUAAAAAGAUUUAGGCAGAAUCAUGACUUGACAUCUGUUUUUGAAGCACCGCUAUAUUCUGUAUCAUGUGCUAACACAGGAUCCAUGACAAAAACUGUAUUUAAACAUUAUUUUCUUUUUCUUUAUGUUUAACUUCUUCUUUAGUUAAUUGGUUGUUGUUAAUGGUUUUAAGCUCUUGUAAGUCUUUCAUUACUACUAAAAAAAAUGAUUUUACUGAGUAAAAGAUCCGAAUUUA